UAAAAUUAAUGUUUCUAGUUAAGGUAUCAUAUAUGCUAACUUUAGACCUUUAAACACACAGCAGGCAAAAGCUAUGAGUUCAGAUGCGGAGCAUAGAAUUUAGCUUCAAACAUCUAUGAUUAACACACAAGAUCACAUAAUUUCAAACAAGUACUGAAAUUAUAGUUACAAUAUAAUUACAGCAAUAGCACAAUUAUGGUAUAGAAAUCCUAUCAUUCAAACACCUGGAAUGAAAUAAUUUCACAAAGACGAAUACCCAGUAAGCUCAUUUUCAGUCCACUUGAUUAUGAAUCAGCCUUUACCACGGUUGCUGCUUCCCCACUACCGGUUAUACUUGAAUCACAGGCAUGUAACAUAGUACAUAUGUCUCUGGUUUCCAGAAACUGUUCUGCAUUGACAAGGAUAAUAGGACCAUACUCGAAAACCAACUUCUUGCACUUUGCUGCAUAGUUCUCCAUUGAAUCACAUCCCUUUAGAAGUAUCUCAAUUAUCUCAAGCUGUGUGUCGGGAUUUUUCAACUUGAGUAAUACUUCUGAAACAGCACGAUGGCAAAUUCCACAUUUAUCUUGUUGGAGUUUUGAGGAAAUGAACACCAUUUCAUGACAGAGAUUGACUUUUCGACAGAAUUCUUCAGCUUGAACUGAGGAAACCUCCAGAAAGAAGAGAGGAGCAUAAUAGUCCACCAAAGUGAUGCACUGUUGCUUGAAAGAAGGCACUUGAGAACAGGCUACAUGAAGAACGUCAAUAAUUUCGGUCUGGGUCUUGUUUUCAGUUAGGUAAUCAAGUGCUUGGGAAGCAAAGUCCUCACACAAUGUGCAAACUUGAUUAUUCCUGGUAAUUCCAUUAGAAGCUUGAUCUUCCCUCUCUUGCUCAUGGUCUUUCACUUGUGUAGCUGAACCAGGAAGAUAUCAAUUUUUGGUAAUAUUACAAUUUUCACAUCAAUAAUCCUUGAAGUAUUCCCCAAUGAAGAAAGGAGUGCUGAUUAAUGCCACAAAUUUAAAACAUCUUAAAUGGGAAAGUCAUUUGAUAUAUCCUUCUCAACAAGGAUCAAAGUCAAAAUUUUGAUAAGUAUCUAAAUUUUAUAGCUAUAUUUAGUUGUGAUAAGCAAUUUUAUGUUUUCCAUUUCCGGUUUUCUACUAUAAUACCAUUCAGGACUUGUCUACCCAAGAUCAUCAUGCCAUGAGGCACAAACAUGGCAACUGUUGGUGUUAAGAGUCCCAUAGUUUUUUUUUCCUUGUAUAAAUUGGCACCUCAAAGAAUGCAUAACUACUUAUUUUAACACAAAAUCAGGACAAAAUAUAAGCUGUGUGUUGUUGAAAAGGUCCAUCAGAGUGUUAUCAGGUCUUUGCCAAGUAAACCAAGCUUGAUUUAAAAGUUUUUCAACAGUAAAGCUACUGAUGAACUUGAGCAUUAAAAUCAGCAAAACAUAAUUUUAAACAACAGUGAGCUAAAAUUUAGCAUUCUGACCACAUGAAAUUCAAAUUUUGUAUGACAAUGCGCUCUGGUCAAGCAGGACCAGGAGUAGUGUGCACCAGCAUAAAUUACAGAAGCUCAACAGACUCAUAAAAUGUGUAAACCCUUGUCUAAAAGACACAAACAAAGUUGGAUUAUAAGGCCUAAAAUUGCAUACUCUUCUAUUGAAUAAUAUCAGAAUUUAAAAGUUACCUGCUAUAUCAGUGAUCACCAUACUUUUAUAAGAAAGCCUAGUGUCUGCCAUUUGUCUAGCAGCACAAGCCCAGCCAGCACCCAACACAAGAAGGAAUAAAAGCCCCAUUCUCACGGCCAUGAUAACUGAAGUUACAAAAAAGUAACACCAACAUCAAAUUAUAAAAUAUAUACAAGAAACUUCUCUCUGGACAAUGAAAAAGCCAAUGUAAUUGAUGAUGUAUUGAUAACUACAGACUAAAAUUACUACAGAUAUGGGAAAAAUAAGUUCUGAUGUAGUUAAUAUGGGAAAUGCUUAAGAGAGGAUUAUUUUUAGAAUUGUUUCAGGGGCAGAUUACUUAGUAUUAGCAAGGGUGUGAAGAAGGAGUUGAGAUGCAAGGAACUCAUGCUUCACACAUUCUGCUGUAUCUAGAAUAUGUUAUUUUGGCAUGAUUUACAUUAGAUAUUACUUGACAAAGAAUAGAACUCCAUGAUAUUUAAUUCUGACUUGUGAUAAUCAAAUGAUUUCUGGCUGCUUCCAUAGUUAAGAUUCCACUCUCAAAUUAUAGCUACAUUUCUCACUCUCCCCAGUUAUUGAUUAGCCAAGAAUGGUUGGGAGUCAGUAAUUAAAUCCAUAUAUGACAUAUGUUUCAUGUCAUCCAUAGUAUGUGUUUCUUAAGGGAUCAUGUAACAUGAGCCCAAAACAUGCUUGCAACAAUUAUGAAGGCAGCCAAAAGCCAUCUCCUCCCAACUAGCUCAAUCAUAUCUCUAUCCUCUUCCUUCCUUUUUUUCAGCUAACUUAGCAUGUUUUAUGCCACAACUACGCCGAUUAAUCACCUUAUCAGUUAUUACAAAAUAAAAAAAGGAGACAAGCUAGCAGUCAGAGCUUAAAUUUCUCAAGAGAAUCCACUUCCCAAAAGUGUAACAAAAACCUUAAGCCAAGGGCAUAAUUAACUCAGAUUCGAAUCAACUGAUAUCCAAUUACUAACCAGCACAAAAAUAAAAUCAACACCAAAUGAAAAUGAUAAAAUGUCAUAUAUAAUAAGAACCGUCCACGAAUUUCACAGAGUCUCAAAGAGCAAAAAUUUGAGUCCUAUUAUUCAAACUAACAAACUAAUCUAAUCCAACAACAACGCAUAAUUAAAUUCAAAUCAAAAGAAUGAAAUCUGUAAGAUUAUAAUAAACUUCUAGCGAGAUUACGCUAUAUAUACAGAAGGGCACAACCAGAAAAAGAAAAUAAAAAGGAUAAAGAUUAAAAGAAAUCUAAU
RNAcentral lists this unclassified non-coding RNA (2912 nucleotides) under Hevea brasiliensis (rubber tree). The record is from RNAcentral. Lineage: Eukaryota; Viridiplantae; Streptophyta; Magnoliopsida; Malpighiales; Euphorbiaceae.